RNAcentral lists this ribosomal RNA (301 nucleotides) under uncultured bacterium. Its description in RNAcentral is "partial 16S ribosomal RNA". It matches the Rfam family "Bacterial small subunit ribosomal RNA", at positions 509 to 807 of the family's 1533-position model. The record is from RNAcentral.
CAGUCGCCGCGGUAAUACGAAGGGUGCAAGCGUUAAUCAGAAUUACUGGGCGUAAAGCGUGCGUAGGCGGUGAGUUAAGUCUGCUGUGAAAUCCCCGGGCUCAACCUGGGAAUGGCAGUGGAUACUGGCUCGCUAGAGUGUGUCAGAGGAUGGUGGAAUUCCCGGUGUAGCGGUGAAAUGCGUAGAGAUCGGGAGGAACAUCAGUGGCGAAGGCGGCCAUCUGGGACAACACUGACGCUGAGGCACGAAAGCGUGGGGAGCAAACAGGAUUAGAUACCCGCGUAGUCCCUGUCUCUUAUAC